RNAcentral lists this transfer RNA (69 nucleotides) under Micadina brachyptera. RNAcentral's name for it is "tRNA-Val". It matches the Rfam family "tRNA". Rfam says of the family: Transfer RNA (tRNA) molecules are approximately 80 nucleotides in length. Their secondary structure includes four short double-helical elements and three loops (D, anti-codon, and T loops). The record is from RNAcentral. Lineage: Eukaryota; Metazoa; Arthropoda; Insecta; Phasmatodea; Lonchodidae.
CAGGAAUUAGUUUAUAGAAAAUUAUUCAUUUACGUUGAGUUGAUUUUAGUGCGAAUCUUUAAUUUCUGA